Molecule: unclassified non-coding RNA, 343 nt
Filed under: uncultured fungus
Lineage: Eukaryota; Fungi
Description: partial contains small subunit ribosomal RNA, internal transcribed spacer 1, and 5.8S ribosomal RNA
Rfam family: Eukaryotic small subunit ribosomal RNA (bases 1-73)
Source: RNAcentral
GCAAACUUGGUCAUUUAGAGGAAGUAAAAGUCGUAACAAGGUUUCCGUAGGUGAACCUGCGGAAGGAUCAUUAAAAAGUUGAAUUAUCCUGCUUAAACUUAUAUGGAUAAUAAAUCCAUAUUCACUUCGUGUGCAUCCAUCGACCGUAUACUUUGACAGAUGGUUUCUUUCUUGGUUUGAUCUCAGAAAGAUGCGGAGAUAUUCGAAUCUAUCUCCAGGGUCUGUCAAAGUUUUUCUCCCGAAUCCUUUAAAUUCUGAAAACCCUUGAAUUGCGAAUAAAUCCAAUACAAAUACAACUUUCAACAACGGAUCUCUUGGCUCUCGCAUCGAUGAAGAACGCAGC